Long non-coding RNA from Capra hircus (goat), 2979 nucleotides. NCBI's taxonomy places the organism in Eukaryota, Metazoa, Chordata, Mammalia, Artiodactyla, Bovidae. The record is from Ensembl.
GGGAGGGCCGCGGGAUCGCCAUGCUCAACCUUCUGAAGACCCUGAGCCAGAGCAUCGCCCCCUCCAUGGCUGACAUGUGGGAGCUGGAGAUCCCGCUGCUGGUGAAGUACCUGGAAGGUGAGAUGUCCCGGGUAUGUGUGCAAGCCAUCUGCUAAGUGCACAUGCCAGGUACUAGAUGUGUGGCAUGAGCAAAGGAGCCUGUGGUGCUUGUGUGAUCCCUACUGUACAUGCUGUGUACUAACCACCUGGUCUGAGCAAAGGAGCCUGGGGCGUGUGAGCCACCCUCCAUCUGUGUACCUGCCGUGUACAAGUCACGUGGCCUGAGCCAGGGCGCCCAGGCUCCCGGUGGCCAGCACAGCCUACUCUGGUCCUUGGAGGGUGGGGAGGGAAGUGCGGCGUGUGGGGAGCCCGUCCACGGAGGACCCCAGCUGCUGCAUUUGGGAGGCGGCAUGGAGGAGCGGCAGGAGGCAGGAGCGCGGGCGGCCUGCAGAACACACUGAGUUUACGUGGAACCAGGAGACGUGGGAGGACAAGCUGAUUCAGUUUCUGAGAAACUCCCUCAAGAAGACUCGGGGUUCCAACUGGAGCCUGCGUCUGAGCAAAGAGCUGAACAACCAGAUCGAGAGCUUCGACAGCCCCUCCCUGGAGAAGGGCUUUCUGUACCGGGCCUUGGGCUUCACCCUGGCCACGGGCCUGGAGGCCGACAAGGUGGAAGUGCUGCUGCUGGAGCUGCUGUACAAGACGGACUACAGCAACGACUUCGACCGGGAGGUGCGGGUGCCCCGCGGUCCCCUCCGGGCCUUGGGAGGACGCGGUGUGCGCGUGCCUGUGCGUGUGCGCGUGCCUGUGCGUGUGCGCGUGCCUGUGCGUGUGCGCGUGCCUGUGCGUCUCUCCGUGUGUGGGGGAGGGGGGGCGCAGCGCACGGGGUGCCCUCAGCCUGCCCGCUGGGUCCUCCCGCAGGGCGUGAUCCUGUGCUUUGGCCUGUGUGCCCGGGGCCAGGUGAAGACGGUGCUGGGCGUGCUCCAUGACUUUGAAGAGAGGAUCCAGGAGUCGGAGCAGUCCUGGCAGAUUGGCGCCUGGCGGAAGGACCAUCCCUGGAGGCGGGAGACGGUGAAGGGCGCGCUCAUGGUGAUGUACAGCUGCGUGGCCUCCUACUGCCACCCGCAGAUGCUUCUCAUCCACGUGGACAACCCCAUCACCACCAAGAUCAUCCACCACUACUCCAGCAGCUGCCAGACUCAGAAGAAGCCUGCCAUUCUCUACAACUUCUUGCUAGAAACAAUGACCUAUGUUAAAAGCAACUUGUCAAGGAUCAGAAUCGCUGCAUGUAACUUGGCAGGAAUCAUUAUGAAGCAGAUGUCUGCGCAUUACUUGAGAAAGCUGGAUUUUCCAGCAUUACGGAAUUCUCUCCAGGAGCUACAGCUGGACUCAGAUCCUGGUGUUUGGAGGGCAGCUCUGGAGACGCCUAACAUCUUGGAUACCUGCAGUCAGCAGCAGCUUUUGGCUUCACCUGAAGGAAUCUCCUAGGUGGUCUAAGUGCAAAACAUACCUUUAUCCUGGGGGCCAAACCCCACUGCACCACCGCAAACCACUUUUAAUUGUGUUUGUAAGAAAAAAUAUUUUACUUAAAUAAUCAGUGCCCCUUUCUUUCCUCCCCUUGAAAUAAACCUCCCUUGCUAUUUGGAGAGCAGAUUCCUGACUGCAAGGAGAUGACGCCCCAGAGCUGAGACAGUGAUUGUUUACCUCUUUGGGAUAAUGAGGUGAAGGGAAAUUAAGUGAAGGGAAAUUCUGGUCCUAGCGGGGAUUAGAUUCCUGUGUCCCCUGAGUGUGUGUGUGUGUGAGUGUGUGUGUGUGUGUGUGUGUGUGUGUGAGGCCAGAGGAUCUGGGGUUCCCGUUGUGUCUUCACUGCAUUUCAGUUCCUCCCAAGUGGAUGGUGUGUGUCCACUGCCAGGCUCUGUGCUGGGGCCCCAGGGGGGCCCAGCUACUGUCCAGCCCUGCUUCCAGGAGCCCUGCCCUUAAAGGGAAAGGAGACAUCUCCCAGCACCCAUGUCGCACCCAGGAUGAGGGAGGGCGGCCACCGAUGGGGGCAGUGCUGGUGCCCGUCUGCAGGGUGUAACUCAGGGGGCUUCAGGGAGGAAGUGACACCACACCGUCCACCCUCGUCUCUUUCAUAUCAGGGUCCACUGGGCCAGGAUGGGAAGGGACCCAGCGAGGCCUGGAGCAGAACCCAUGAAGGGCCAAAGGGAGGAGUUACCUUCAAGUCCAAGAAACAGGCAGGGGGAGAAGGGCAGGGAAACUCUUCCUACACUCACGCUGCCAGCGGGACAGUCUCGGGUUGUCCCCAGAGCAGAUGGAGGUGGGAUUUCCAAACCAGUCCCACUGUAACAGCCCAAGGCAGUCACCACCCUGGGCCCAUGGGUGGGAGGAUUGCAAAACAGUCCAGAAAACCAACCUGCACUGGAGGCUUCCCAGGAGACUGGUCUCACACUCUUGGUGGUGCCCACGGAACAGACAGUGGAGUUACUUCCUGCUGAGUGAUGAAGAUGGUGGCUGCUGGAAGACUCAAGUCCCAGUGACGCAGCCAGAAAGGAUGUGCCCUUCACUCUAGGCCCGGGGGAAGCCGUACGAUUGCAGAGUCAGGUCUCUGAUCAAUUCUGUUCAUGCCUGUGCAAAACAUCUCCAGAUGGUUUAUAGACCUGAACUCAGAAAGCAAAAAUUUAAGACAAUAUAGUCAUUUUGAUCCUGAGACUAGGGUAGGAUGUCCUUUAAGAGUAAUGAAUGAAACAAGUUAAAAAUAAAGGAUUAACUUUUGUAAGUUACAGUAUAUCUUCUGGGACUUUGCUGGUGGUCCAGUGAUUAAAAUUCCAUGCUUCCACUGCAGGGAGCUUAGGUUCUGUCCCUGGUUGGGGAACUAAGAGCCUUAUGCCAUGCAGUGCAAUUAAAAAAAAAGAAAAUUUCUUGAAUAAAAAUGAAAAUACA